AUAAACUUUAAAUAAGCAUUUUCUCAUUUUAGUAUCUUUAUGCUUUAAAGUGUAUCAAUUUAGUAUUCUUAAAUUAUAUAUAAAAAAUUUCAAAUAUCCCAUCUAAGUGUAUAGAAUAUUCACUUUAGUACCUUUUAGCUUUUAACUUUGUCGCUGAUUUAACGAAAAAAAUUAGUAGAGAUGAUAAAAAAAGAGAAAAAUAAAACCACAUAGUAUUAAAUUGAUACACUUUAGACUAUAGGAUACUAAAAUAAAAAAGUACGAAAUUACAUACGUGGUAUUUAAAUUUUUCCAAAAAAUAAAUAGAAGAUAAUAGUCUGGAUGAAGGCAAUAUUUUUUUUAAAAAAAAGAUAUUGAAAUUUAGACUAAGUAAUGCUAUUAGAUAAAAAAGAGUUUAGAUAAAAGCAUAUAGAGACUGUAGAAAAUAUAUUGUAACUGACUAAUCGCGAUAUGCGAAACAUAAUAUUAUGUAUGGAAACAAACGGACGUAACACAAUUUUUUUGUAAUUACAAAUGAAGCCUUAGAUAU
Molecule: long non-coding RNA, 529 nt
Filed under: Ananas comosus (pineapple)
Lineage: Eukaryota; Viridiplantae; Streptophyta; Magnoliopsida; Poales; Bromeliaceae
Description: long non-coding RNA (ACOM_LNC029718)
Source: RNAcentral